GAGAAAGCAGUAGAGCAAAGGAACCCAGAGAGGUUCCACCAACCGGUUACGUCGGCACCGAUGUAGCGGCGGUGUUCAGGUUUCAACUUACAUAAUGUCGUCGUAGUAGGUGAACAUCUCAAGACAUAAGUCUCAAACAAGCACUCGAUGAUGGCGACUAGGGUUUCAACGAAGGUUCCGACAACUUUGUAAGUCUCAACACUUCAUUUUUAUAGUUUCCGGCAACUGAUGGGUGUUCUUGGUGGUUCUGUACUCCGGAAUUCUCCGACGAUAUUGGGGUUUAGGCAGCGGUGGCGUGGUAGUCGAGGACAUGACAGUGAAGAGUAACCCUGGUGGUGGUGCGAUGAUGGACCAGACUGUGUUCCAAAAACAGAACUUCGAGUAACAAAAAUCACCCGAGAGUGUGUUUUACUGAGUAAAUGUGAUCGUUGGCGUAAAGGAAGAUAGACUGAUGAUGACUGGGCUGCACACAGUUGCUGAUAUUUCUGCGUCAAAUGUGGAUCAAUUGUUGGAUGGACAUACGAAACGACGCAUGAUGAGGCCCAAAAGUACAAGGAAGGGAAAUCAGUCCUGGAACGGAUUUGGAAGACAAGCUGCACCAAGGUGAACUUUUUGACGCAUUGGGUU
RNAcentral lists this long non-coding RNA (627 nucleotides) under Helianthus annuus (common sunflower). The record is from RNAcentral. Lineage: Eukaryota; Viridiplantae; Streptophyta; Magnoliopsida; Asterales; Asteraceae.